GAGUUUGAUCCUGGCUCACGCAACGAACGCUGGCGGCGUGCCUAACACAUGUAAGUCGAACGAGAAAGCGGGCUUCGGCCCGUGAGUAAAGUGGCAGACGGGUGAGUAACACGUGGGUAACCUGCCCGGAGGUGGGGGAUAACUCUCCGAAAGGAGAGCUAAUACCGCACAAUACCCCGAGGCCCUCGGGUCUCGGGAUCAAAGCUAGCCUCUACCUGUAAGCUAGCGCCACCGGAGGGGCCCGCGGCCCAUUAGCUUGUUGGUGAGGUAACGGCUCACCAAGGCGACGAUGGGUAGCCGGCCUGAGAGGGCGAUCGGCCACACUGGAACUGAGACACGGUCCAGACUCCUACGGGAGGCAGCAGUGAGGAAUCUUGCGCAAUGGGGGAAACCCUGACGCAGCGACGCCGCGUGGAGGACGAAGGCCCUCGGGUCGUAAACUCCUGUCAAGCGGGACGAAAGCCUGGAGAAUGAAUAAGUCUCCCGGUUGACGGUACCGCUGGAGGAAGCCCCGGCUAACUCCGUGCCAGCAGCCGCGGUAAUACGGAGGGGGCCAGCGUUGUUCGGAAUUAUUGGGCGUAAAGGGCGCGUAGGCGGCCUG
Molecule: ribosomal RNA, 601 nt
Filed under: uncultured Holophagales bacterium
Lineage: Bacteria; Pseudomonadati; Acidobacteriota; Holophagae; Holophagales
Description: bacterial SSU rRNA
Rfam family: Bacterial small subunit ribosomal RNA
Source: RNAcentral